Long non-coding RNA from Oncorhynchus gorbuscha (pink salmon), 433 nucleotides. RefSeq lists it as uncharacterized. The transcript is spliced from 3 exons. The record is from RefSeq and is a predicted model, not a curated record. Lineage: Eukaryota; Metazoa; Chordata; Actinopteri; Salmoniformes; Salmonidae.
CCGCUCCAUGAGAAAAGCAAACAUAUGUCAAGCUGCUGGCCAAGCCUUGUGCUGCAUAUCUUGUGACCACUCCGUUUAGGUUUCAUGCACCAGAAAGGGCUCUAUCAGUGCGCAUAGCUUCUUGGAAGUUCAGGAAAGGAAAUGUCCCCAAAGCUGACUUGAGUUCUCUCUUCUGUUCCUACAGCUGAUGGUGUCAAGUUUGUAAUUGACAUCUGAACCUACUCAUCCAGACCAGCUCUGUUGGAGAAAUUGUAUUCCGUUCAGACCACUGGGUGGUCUCUACUGCUGCAGAAAAGAAAAUGAAAGGACUGAAAUCUCCUCUUCAUAAGCCCGGACCUGACAUCCAUUCCCUGCCGGAUCGUUAGCCAUGAACAUUACUCACCCGGAUCAUUUACCCCAUUCCCACCUGGUCAUCGGAGGAUUCCGCUACCCC